UUAGCUGACCUGGCAUACACAGAUGUGUGCUUCAAAAUAUGUAUACAUGAGUGUGUGUGCGAUUGUAACAUUUCAUUGCUUCACUUGUUAUCAGCUGAGCAAAACAGUAUUAUGAUGUUUGCAUUCCUUGUGGAUGUUAUGACCUGUAACUCUACACUGCUGAAAAAUGUCUUGAGGAAGAAAGUGAAGGAAGAAGCAAAAUGGUUUGUGAUGUCUUUUGCAGAAUUAAUUAAUCUAUUUAAAAAUGGUUCCAAUAAUAUGGAGCUG
Molecule: long non-coding RNA, 267 nt
Organism: Octopus sinensis (East Asian common octopus)
Lineage: Eukaryota; Metazoa; Mollusca; Cephalopoda; Octopoda; Octopodidae
Exons: 2
Source: RefSeq, a predicted model, not a curated record